GAUGAACGCUAGCUACAGGCUUAACACAUGCAAGUCGAGGGGAAACGACAUCGAAAGCUUGCUUUUGAUGGGCGUCGACCGGCGCACGGGUGAGUAACGCGUAUCCAACCUGCCCACCACUUGGGGAUAACCUUGCGAAAGUAAGACUAAUACCCAACGGCGUCUCUAGAAGACAUCUGAAAGAGAUUAAAGAUUUAUCGGUGAUGGAUGGGGAUGCGUCUGAUUAGCUUGUUGGCGGGGUAACGGCCCACCAAGGCGACGAUCAGUAGGGGUUCUGAGAGGAAGGUCCCCCACAUUGGAACUGAGACACGGUCCAAACUCCUACGGGAGGCAGCAGUGAGGAAUAUUGGUCAAUGGGCGAAAGCCUGAACCAGCCAAGUAGCGUGCAGGAUGACGGCCCUAUGGGUUGUAAACUGCUUUUAUAAGGGAAUAAAGUGAGUCUCGUGAGACUUUUUGCAUGUACCUUAUGAAUAAGGACCGGCUAAUUCCGUGCCAGCAGCCGCCGCGG
This 508-nucleotide ribosomal RNA is filed under the name uncultured bacterium. RNAcentral's name for it is "partial 16S ribosomal RNA". It matches the Rfam family "Bacterial small subunit ribosomal RNA", at positions 28 to 523 of the family's 1533-position model. The record is from RNAcentral.